GCAUUUUCGAGCCAGAAGUGGAAACGCCUAUUCGGAAAAAUCAGCCCACGAGACUGAAUUCUGGUUCCACUUCGAUGCGUUGGAAAAGGCGACAAAAACAAAGAGAUAGAGCGGUCCCAGCGAUUCCGUUUUAAUUGGAACCGCUCUAAUGUGAAACAGGUAUGGCUGUUCCGAUAUCCGGGUGGAUUUCGGCU
RNAcentral lists this unclassified non-coding RNA (194 nucleotides) under Brucella sp. 191011898. RNAcentral describes it as "BASRCI153". The record is from RNAcentral. Lineage: Bacteria; Pseudomonadati; Pseudomonadota; Alphaproteobacteria; Hyphomicrobiales; Brucellaceae.